UACGUAGGGGGCAAGCGUUGUCCGGAUUCAUUGGGCGUAAAGCGCGGGCAGGCGGCCCGUUAAGUCGGCCGAGAAAGCGCCGGGCUCAACUCGGCGAGGACGGGCGAGACUGACGGGCUCGAGGUUGGCAGAGGGCGGUGGAAUUCCGGGUGUAGUGGUGGAAUGCGUAGAGCUCCGGAGGAACACCAGUGGCGAAGGCGGCCGCCUGGGCCAAUACUGACGCUGAGCCGCGAAAGCGUGGGGAGCGAGCCGG
This 253-nucleotide ribosomal RNA is filed under the name uncultured bacterium. RNAcentral's name for it is "partial 16S ribosomal RNA". It matches the Rfam family "Bacterial small subunit ribosomal RNA", at positions 524 to 776 of the family's 1533-position model. The record is from RNAcentral.